This 302-nucleotide long non-coding RNA is filed under the name Homo sapiens (human). RNAcentral describes it as "long non-coding RNA NONHSAT119382.2". Lineage: Eukaryota; Metazoa; Chordata; Mammalia; Primates; Hominidae. The record is from RNAcentral.
CUUCCGGGGACGCUGGGGGCGCGAGGCAACGGUGCCAAGUGAGACCGAGAAGGCGUAGCUGAGCCGCUCGUGAGCCACAUAGCUGCAGCUUGCCAUCUUGGAGUCCAGCUCGUCGCUCUGGAGGACCUGGUAGAGGAAGUCGAUGUACCUGGCCGCCAGCUUGAGGGUCUGAAUCUUGCUCAGCUUGUCCGAGGGCAGCGUGGGGAUGAUCUUCCGCAGCGCGGCGAACGCCUCGUUCAGCGACUGGGUGCGCUGGCGCUCCCGCACGUUGGCCAUGACCCGCUGCGUCUGCAGCUCCUCGU